This 672-nucleotide ribosomal RNA is filed under the name uncultured bacterium. RNAcentral's name for it is "bacterial SSU rRNA". It matches the Rfam family "Bacterial small subunit ribosomal RNA", at positions 94 to 802 of the family's 1533-position model. The record is from RNAcentral.
AGCGGCGGACGGGUGAGUAACGCGUGGGAAUAUGCCCUUCUCUAAGGAAUAGCCUCGGGAAACUGAGAGUAAUACCUUAUACGCCCUUCGGGGGAAAGAUUUAUCGGAGAAGGAUUAGCCCGCGUUAGAUUAGGUAGUUGGUGGGGUAAUGGCCUACCAAGCCUACGAUCUAUAGCUGGUUUGAGAGGAUGAUCAGCCACACUGGGACUGAGACACGGCCCAGACUCCUACGGGAGGCAGCAGUAGGGAAUCUUAGACAAUGGGGGAAACCCUGAUCUAGCCAUGCCGCGUGUGUGAUGAAGGCCUUAGGGUCGUAAAGCACUUUCGCCAGAGAUGAUAAUGACAGUAUCUGGUAAAGAAACCCCGGCUAACUCCGUGCCAGCAGCCGCGGUAAUACGGAGGGGGUUAGCGUUGUUCGGAAUUACUGGGCGUAAAGCGCACGUAGGCGGAUUAGUAAGUUAGAGGUGAAAUCCCAGGGCUCAACCCUGGAACUGCCUUUAAUACUGCUAGUCUUGAGUUCGAGAGAGGUAAGUGGAAUUCCGAGUGUAGAGGUGAAAUUCGUAGAUAUUCGGAGGAACACCAGUGGCGAAAGCGGCUUACUGGCUCGAUACUGACGCUGAGGUGCGAAAGUGUGGGGAGCAAACAGGAUUAGAUACCCUGGUAGUCACACGA